RNAcentral lists this long non-coding RNA (3706 nucleotides) under Jatropha curcas. Its description in RNAcentral is "long non-coding RNA (JCUR_LNC002626)". The record is from RNAcentral. Lineage: Eukaryota; Viridiplantae; Streptophyta; Magnoliopsida; Malpighiales; Euphorbiaceae.
AUGUGAAAAAACAAUGUUUGGAAGCAAUGAUGGAGAAGCCAUGUGCCCUAUCAAAUUACCUUUGAAGCAUUUUAGGAAAUUUUUUUAUUCUUUCCCAUUUAGUAAUGAUGGAAGCUAUUCUACUAUGUCAUGCAAUCAUCUUCCUUUCAGGCUUUGUUGGAUACCAACUGGAAAGAUAUGAUUCCACAUGCUGCUUCACCACCCAAAUCCAAUCUAAAAGGUGCCAAUCUUUACUUAAAAACAAAAAAAAAAAAAAAAAAGUGAACUAUACAAAAUAAAAUUUUGAGAUUCAUUAUUUGUUGUAAUUUUGUUAUAUUUCUUUUAUUUUUGAGAAUUUCAUGCAACACCUUUUAGAAAUUUUUACUAUUCUUAACUGAUUCAAUUUUAGGUAAGUUAAGUUAGAAUUUAUUUGGAUUUAUUAUUUUUCAAUCAUACAUCAUCCUCCUUAGGUGAUAUUUGAUCGGGAGUAAGUAGACCAGGGAAGUGUAACUUCCUCAAGUGCAUAAAAUGUUUAUAUUUAAUUUUCAUUAUUAAUUUUACUUGCCGGCAAGUAGACUAUCCAACUUCCAUUCUAUAAUGGGAAGUAACUUCCUUUUAAGGAUGACUAAGGAAGUUGUACUUCCUAGUUAAAUUCAAUGACCACUUUACUUAUUAUCUAAACACACUUAAAUUUAUAAUAUGAACAUUAUUGUCUUUUGUAAUUUACUUUCUAAGAAGUUGAUUUGCAUAUCAAAUAUGUUCAAAUUAUAUUUCCUGGGAAAUUAUUUCCUUGAAAGUGUUAUCUUUCCGAGAAGUAUAAUUUUUGGAUAAUAGAUCAUUUUGAACGAAAGAAUGCCUUAAAUUAGCUAGAUAUCAUUGGAGGUUCAUGAAAUCCAAUGACAUUUUAUUUUGAAUUAAACUUAACUAGAUUGGUUCUGUGGCUCCAACUUAUGAAAAACCCAGAAAAUUAGAAUUUUUUUUUUAAAAGUUCUCAUUUUUUUUCUCCGUAUAUAGUCAGAAAUACUUUCAUUGAAUACUUUCGUUUUCAACAAAAGUAAAUAUUUUUAACUUGUUUGGUCCUUUAAUGGCCUGUAAACGGGCCCUAUAAACUGAGUUUAGGCAAGUUAAUUCAUAUAUAUUAUUCUUUUUUUUUUUAACAUAGUAAAAGGUAAAAGGGAGUUCAAAUCUGAAUGUGUCAACAUUUGGAAUGGGGAGAAGGAUGAUCAUAAUAUUUCAAUUCUAUAUUAUAUAUAUUACAUACCAUCAACCUAAUCACGAAUCUUGUUAUAUGAAAAAUUAUUAUGUACCAUUUGGGAUCAAACUCGUGCGUUUGCAAAAUGCCAAUUUUGCAUUUUAUUUUACAAAUGCUAAGUUAAUUGCAUGUUACAAAUUUUAAAAUCUCUACAUAAAAAUCCAUGUACAGUUGAUGAAAGACCAUAUAUUCACUGACUCACAAUAUCAGUAAUUGUCACUCUAUUUACAGAACAAAAUUCUUCUUGUCUCACUAAUGAAUUAGAAUUAUCACCCAACUCUCUCAAGAUAUCUUUAAUUUACAUCUCAACAAGAUAACCAAGAGAACAAAGCAACCCCGCAUGUUUUCUACGCUAGAUAGACAAAAAAGACGUCAAUCAAUCUCCGGUUGCACAGCCCCUGCAACCGCAAUGGACACAUUCUAUAACCUCUUCUCUCAGGUUCUUAGGCACCCAGCAAACACAUGUCGUUGCGAAGUUGUGAACUUGUGAUCUCGCGGUUGCAUGCAACUUAAGCAGCAGAGACGUUCAUAACCCGGCUGUAACUCAAGCAGGCCACAAAAAUUAAGUAAGAAUCAUAUAGUCAUAUGAAAUCGCAAAAAAUUUUUAUCAAACAAUAAAUAGAAAAUGAAUCUCAUAUAUAUAUAAACUUUUUGUUCAACUUAUUUUUCUGCCACUAACCAAAAAUCCAAAAGUAUUUAUUCAUGCUGUUGGUGAUUAGCCACAUUCAACUUCAUAUAUCGGUUUGUUUUCAACACAAGAUCAAAAAAGAAAAAUUAGAAUUGCAAUUUCAAUUAACAAACUUGUAAGACUAACCUUCUUCCACUUUGCAACAAAAUUCCGGUCAGUGUAGCCUUGUUCCAAACAGAAUUCAUACAAUUCCUUGGAUAUUUCUUUCCUUUGAUGAUAAAGAUCGAAAAUGCAGUGGCUCUUUUGAUGCGCUAUCUUAAAAAUAGGCCGUAAAGCCUCGAAUUUUCUCUUACCAUUGUGUGGGUCAUUCUCAGCUGUCCAAACAAUUGAAGACAUACCACUAUCAGGUUUACAAAGCUCAAAAACAUAACAAGGGAAUGCUAGCCUAACUACAGUCAUUUCCCAUUCAACACUCGCCUCACCGCUUAGUUGGUCCACUUUAUCUCGCAAUUUUAAUAGAUGACCGGUAGCCUAUUACAACCAGUUACCAACUCUUUUAAUUUUCAAAGAAUGGAGAAAAAACCAAUUUAACACAACACUGCUAACAUGAUGUCCUAAACAAUGUCUGCUAAAAUUGAGAGAUGAAUGGACCAAUUAAAAGUUGGUGUCUUUUGAUAGAAAAAGAACUAAAAGCUGACUGUAGCUAUGACGAUUCCCCAUUAAAGUAUUAUGUUGUGAAGAACACUAACCUUCUCUCAUUUUUGCUGGUAGUACACGUGGAGUAGGCUCAAUCAAUUCCCAGCCCUCAGGGUACUUGACACGAUUAGUCUUCACCUUUGGCAUUUUUUCCUGUUUGAUCUGCCAUCAGAGAAGGCAACAUUAGUUAAAAGAAAAUCUCAUACAGUUCAAACAAAUCACAAAAAAAAGUUUCAAUCCAAAAAAAAAAAAAAAAACCAUAGAUAUAUAUAUAUAUAUAUAUAUAUAUAUAUAUAGAUAUAUAUAUUUUCCUUGCUUAUAAAUGUUACAAUAAAGAAUAUAUAUAGCGUAAAGACUGCCCGGGAUGUCAAGAUUUCAAUCAAAACAAUCAAUCAUUAAGAAUUACAGAAGCAAGAAGAACUUCUUGUUUCCACUAAGUAUGAUCUAUGAAAACUUUCUCUAUCUUAAUCUGAUGACAACCCAUGAACAUGAGCUUAAGAAAAUCAACUAAGUGUUUCAAAGCCAAAUCAUAAUUUGGUAUUAAGGCCUAAAAGAAUUCAAUAUCCUAUACGACUCUCAAUUUAUACUCCCACCUAGAACUACAUUUCAGCAGAAAACUAAGUUAAUUGAUUCAUCAUUUGUUUUCUCUUAAUUAGGCCCAAAAAUAUGAAUCCUAAAACCCUUUUUCUAAUACAAGAAAAUAAAACACAUCAAACAGAUAAAAAAAAUGUAUGUAUAUUUCUUUCAUGAUUCUUGCCACUGUCUAUCUUCUCUAGAAAGAAGGAAGCAAUUAUUUAGUCUUCGAGGAGGAUAUCCGGAGUAUCUCUUCGACUCUACCAAUGGCGGGUGUGUGUUUGUGUAGCGAAGAAAUCAAACGAAAGAUAUUUCAAAAAAGAGAAAGUCCUGCAAACUGAAAUUACUCUCGAUUAAUUUUCUUCUAGCGAACUAUGCCGGCGGUGAUCAUGCAACGUCGUCCGGCGGCGGAGUUUUACGGACGCGAGUAAAAGUCGCGGCUGGUAGAGUGUGUAGGGACUGUAGUAUAGAGUGUACAGAGAGGACAAGACGAAAACUGGUUUUUAUAAUAUUGGGGUUCAAUUCCUAAAACUAAAAGGAAAUCAAAAUUCAAAUUUUACUUUAGGUUGGAUUGAAAU